UUAAGUUCAGCGGGUAGUCCUACCUGAUUUGAGGCCAAAGUGUUAAGUAAGUUGUCCGCAAGGGACGAUUAGAAGCUGCACAUAUAGAACAGGCCUAAGGCGACGGCGCAGAUAAUUAUCACACCAUGCCGAGCACUGUAAAAAGCGCAAGCUAAUGCAUUUAAGGAUGAGCCAAUUACGGCACAAUCCAAAUCCACCAC
Molecule: unclassified non-coding RNA, 200 nt
Filed under: Exidiaceae sp.
Lineage: Eukaryota; Fungi; Basidiomycota; Agaricomycetes; Auriculariales; Exidiaceae
Description: partial internal transcribed spacer 2
Source: RNAcentral